Molecule: long non-coding RNA, 462 nt
Filed under: Lathyrus oleraceus (garden pea)
Lineage: Eukaryota; Viridiplantae; Streptophyta; Magnoliopsida; Fabales; Fabaceae
Description: Pisum sativum (pea) long non-coding RNA (PSAT_LNC015990)
Source: RNAcentral
GAAUUUUUGUGGAAUUUAUUGAGCUGUUUUGAUAUUGAUUUGAUUGUGAUCAUUCUGUUUGGUCUUUUGAGGUUGCAAAUUGCAUGUUUUGUGCCUUUUCUUUCAUGAAAUGAUGAUAAUGAAUGAUAUGAGCAUGGGACCAAUGGGAUUUGUUUCUAAUUUGUUUGAUUGUGAUUUUGAUUAAUUUUCACUUGCUGUUUUGGAUUUUUCAUCUCCUUUGGACCCUAGGCUUGUCCUAGUGGUCUUGUUUCUCACUUUUGAAUUGUGUUUCAGGUUGAGAUGCAAAUGCUUUAAGGAGAAAAAUGCAAGUUGAUUAAAUUGAGUUUGGUUGCUUGUUGUGAACUAACUUGUGUGUUUUGUAGGAUGCUUGGCUCACUUGAGUUGAUUGUGCUUUGCACAUUGCAUUGUUUGAUUGUACAUUGACUGUUGAUUCUUAUCUUGUCUGUUUUGACUGUGUGAUUG